Molecule: non-coding RNA, 139 nt
Organism: Proteus mirabilis
Lineage: Bacteria; Pseudomonadati; Pseudomonadota; Gammaproteobacteria; Enterobacterales; Morganellaceae
Source: Rfam
CAUCAAGUCAUUGGGGAGUAGCCUGUCUUAAAAUAAAUCUCAUUAUUUUAAGAAGUCUGUAUCAACAUACUCGCUUAUUUUUAUUUAGCGUGGUACAGACGCCAUUAUUUGGUUGGCAAGACCAUAGACACAUAAUUGU